ACCACCUGUACACCGACCACAAGGGGGGCACUAUCUCUAAUGCUUUCCGGUGUAUGUCAAGCCUUGGUAAGGUUCUUCGCGUUGCGUCGAAUUAAGCCACAUGCUCCGCCGCUUGUGCGGGCCCCCGUCAAUUCCUUUGAGUUUUAGCCUUGCGGCCGUACUCCCCAGGCGGGGCACUUAAUGCGUUAGCUGCGGCACGGACAACGUGGAAUGUUGCCCACACCUAGUGCCCACCGUUUACGGCGUGGACUACCAGGGUAUCUAAUCCUGUUCGCUCCCCACGCUUUCGCUCCUCAGCGUCAGUAUCGGCCCAGAGAUCCGCCUUCGCCACCGGUGUUCCUCCUGAUAUCUGCGCAUUUCACCGCUACACCAGGAAUUCCGAUCUCCCCUACCGAACUCUAGCCUGCCCGUAUCGACUGCAGACCCGGGGUUAAGCCCCGGGCUUUCACAACCGACGUGACAAGCCGCCUACGAGCUCUUUACGCCCAAUAAUUCCGGACAACGCUUGCGCCCUACGUAUUACCGCGGCUGCUGGCACGUAGUUAGCCGGCGCUUCUUCUGCAGGUACCGUCACUUUCGCUUCUUCCCUGCUGAAAGAGGUUUACAACCCGAAAGGCCGUCAUCCCUCACGCGGCGUCGCUGCAUCAGGCUUUCGCCCAUUGUGCAAUAUUCCCCACUGCUGCCUCCCGUAGGANUCUGGGCCGUGUCUCA
This 711-nucleotide ribosomal RNA is filed under the name Streptomyces collinus. RNAcentral describes it as "partial 16S ribosomal RNA". The record is from RNAcentral. Lineage: Bacteria; Bacillati; Actinomycetota; Actinomycetes; Kitasatosporales; Streptomycetaceae.